RNAcentral lists this ribosomal RNA (212 nucleotides) under Streptomyces sp. DconLS. RNAcentral's name for it is "23S rRNA. Bacterial LSU". It matches the Rfam family "Bacterial large subunit ribosomal RNA", at positions 2715 to 2925 of the family's 2925-position model. The record is from RNAcentral. Lineage: Bacteria; Bacillati; Actinomycetota; Actinomycetes; Kitasatosporales; Streptomycetaceae.
UGCCAGUUGUUCUGCCAAGGGCAUGGCUGGUUGGCUACGUUCGGGAGGGAUAACCGCUGAAAGCAUCUAAGCGGGAAGCCUGCUUCGAGAUGAGGACUCCCACCCACUUGAUGGGGUAAGGCUCCCAGUAGACGACUGGGUUGAUAGGCCGGAUCUGGAAGCCAGGUAACUGGUGGAGGUGACCGGUACUAAUAGGCCGAGGGCUUGUCCUC